RNAcentral lists this ribosomal RNA (468 nucleotides) under uncultured bacterium. Its description in RNAcentral is "partial 16S ribosomal RNA". It matches the Rfam family "Bacterial small subunit ribosomal RNA", at positions 28 to 507 of the family's 1533-position model. The record is from RNAcentral.
GACGAACGCUGGCGGCGUGCUUAACACAUGCAAGUCGAACGGAAAGGCCCUGCUUUUGUGGGGUGCUCGAGUGGCGAACGGGUGAGUAACACGUGAGUAACCUGCCCUUGACUUUGGGAUAACUUCAGGAAACUGGGGCUAAUACCGGAUCGGAGCUCCUGCUGCGUGGUGGGGGUUGGAAAGUUUCGGCGGUUGGGGAUGGACUCGCGGCUUAUCAGCUUGUUGGUGGGGUAGUGGCUUACCAAGGCUUUGACGGGUAGCCGGCCUGAGAGGGUGACCGGCCACAUUGGGACUGAGAUACGGCCCAGACUCCUACUGGAGGCAGCAGUGGGGAAUAUGGCACAAUGGGCGGAAGCCUGAUGCAGCAACGCCGCGUGCGGGAUGACGGCCUUCGGGUUGUAAACCGCUUUCGCCUGUGACGAAGCGUGAGUGACGGUAAUGGGUAAAGAAGCACCGGCUAACUACGUG